RNAcentral lists this ribosomal RNA (446 nucleotides) under uncultured bacterium. Its description in RNAcentral is "partial 16S ribosomal RNA". It matches the Rfam family "Bacterial small subunit ribosomal RNA", at positions 338 to 795 of the family's 1533-position model. The record is from RNAcentral.
CCUACGUGGGGCAGCAGUCGAGAAUCAUUCACAAUGGGGGAAACACUGAUGGUGCGACGCCGCGUGGGGGAAUGAAGGUCUUCGGAUUGUAAACCCCUGUCAUGUGGGAGCAAAUUAAAAAGAUAGUACCACAAGAGGAAGAGACGGCUAACUCUGUGCCAGCAGCCGCGGUAAUACAGAGGUCUCAAGCGUUGUUCGGAAUCACUGGGCGUAAAGCGUGCGUAGGCUGUUUCGUAAGUCGUGUGUGAAAGGCGCGGGCUCAACCCGCGGACGGCACAUGAUACUGCGAGACUAGAGUAAUGGAGGGGGAACCGGAAUUCUCGGUGUAGCAGUGAAAUGCGUAGAUAUCGAGAGGAACACUCGUGGCGAAGGCGGGUUCCUGGACAUUAACUGACGCUGAGGCACGAAGGCCAGGGGAGCGAAAGGGAUUAGAUACCCUUGUAGUC